GACGAACGCUGGCGGCGUGCUUAACACAUGCAAGUCGAGCGGUAAGGCCCUUUCGGGGGUACACGAGCGGCGAACGGGUGAGUAACACGUGGGUGACCUGCCCUCAGCUCUGGGAUAAGCCUGGGAAACCGGGUCUAAUACUGGAUAUGACUCCAUGACGCAUGUUGUGGGGUGGAAAGCCUUGUGCGGCUGAGGAUGGGCCCGCGGCCUAUCAGCUUGUUGGUGGGGUGAUGGCCUACCAAGGCGACGACGGGUAGCCGGCCUGAGAGGGCGACCGGCCACACUGGGACUGAGACACGGCCCAGACUCCUACGGGAGGCAGCAGUGGGGAAUCUUGCGCAAUGGGCGAAAGCCUGACGCAGCGACGCCGCGUGAGGGAUGACGGCCUCGG
Molecule: ribosomal RNA, 391 nt
Filed under: uncultured bacterium
Lineage: Bacteria
Description: bacterial SSU rRNA
Rfam family: Bacterial small subunit ribosomal RNA
Source: RNAcentral